UCCCUCGUAGCUCAGUUGGUAAAGAAUCUGUCUGUGACGCAGGAGACUUGGGUUUGAUUCCUGGCUUGGGAA
Molecule: transfer RNA, 72 nt
Filed under: Ovis aries (sheep)
Lineage: Eukaryota; Metazoa; Chordata; Mammalia; Artiodactyla; Bovidae
Rfam family: tRNA
About the family: Transfer RNA (tRNA) molecules are approximately 80 nucleotides in length. Their secondary structure includes four short double-helical elements and three loops (D, anti-codon, and T loops).
Source: Rfam by way of RNAcentral